This is a long non-coding RNA of Lutzomyia longipalpis, 380 nucleotides long. RefSeq lists it as uncharacterized. NCBI's taxonomy places the organism in Eukaryota, Metazoa, Arthropoda, Insecta, Diptera, Psychodidae. The transcript is spliced from 3 exons. The record is from RefSeq and is a predicted model, not a curated record.
AUUUGAAAAAUCGCAGAAGUUUUUCUUCUUCUCUGAUGAUAAAAUGAAUAAAGUGGCUUUAAGUUGUGUGGUUUUGGUGGUUUUUUGUGCCUCAAAAGUGUCUGCUUUAACGUGCUACUCGUGCGAUUCUAUUCUCAAUGAUAAUUGCAUUGAUGGAACUAAUUUGGAGCCAAUAAACUGCCCGGAAUUAGGUGAUAUUGGAAAUAGAUGCCUCAAAGCUGUUGGAUAUGUAAAUGGGACAGACGUUGUGUUGCGAGAUUGUGGUGUAAGAAACUACUGCGGAACUAUCGGCAAUCCUAGCGUUGAAAUUACUUCCUAUUACCUUUGCGAAGGCAGCAAUUGCAAUGGAUCUCUUAAAUUAAGAGGCAACCUCUUCUUCU